GAUGAACGCUGGCGGCGUGCCUAAUACAUGCAAGUCGAGCGAACAGACGAGGAGCUUGCUCCUCUGACGUUAGCGGCGGACGGGUGAGUAACACGUGGAUAACCUACCUAUAAGACUGGGAUAACUUCGGGAAACCGGAGCUAAUACCGGAUAAUAUAUUGAACCGCAUGGUUCAAUAGUGAAAGACGGUUUUGCUGUCACUUAUAGAUGGAUCCGCGCCGCAUUAGCUAGUUGGUAAGGUAACGGCUUACCAAGGCAACGAUGCGUAGCCGACCUGAGAGGGUGAUCGGCCACACGGGAACUGAGACACGGUCCAGACUCCUACGGGAGGCAGCAGUAGGGAAUGUUCCGCAAUGGGCGAAAGCCUGACGGAGCAACGCCGCGUGAGUGAUGAAGGUCUUCGGAUCGUAAAACUCUGUUAUUAGGGAAGAACAAAUGUGUAAGUAACUAUGCACGUCUUGACGGUACCUAAUCAGAAAGCCACGGCUAACUACGUG
RNAcentral lists this ribosomal RNA (497 nucleotides) under uncultured bacterium. Its description in RNAcentral is "partial 16S ribosomal RNA". It matches the Rfam family "Bacterial small subunit ribosomal RNA", at positions 28 to 507 of the family's 1533-position model. The record is from RNAcentral.